UCGUUUACCUUGACAAAAACACUAGUUCCCGUCCGACCACUGCAGUCAAGCGUCUAAGGCCUCGCUGGUACUAUAAUAGAAAUAACAUGGGAAUCUGUGGAGCUGUAAACU
Molecule: ribosomal RNA, 111 nt
Filed under: Schizosaccharomyces pombe (fission yeast)
Lineage: Eukaryota; Fungi; Ascomycota; Schizosaccharomycetes; Schizosaccharomycetales; Schizosaccharomycetaceae
Source: RNAcentral